CAGGGAUUGGCCCGGUUUGGCAGAGCGCCGCACCCGGACCGCGAAAGCCGAAGGGUCGCCCCCUUAUCCCUGACCA
Molecule: transfer RNA, 76 nt
Filed under: Mameliella sp. CS4
Lineage: Bacteria; Pseudomonadati; Pseudomonadota; Alphaproteobacteria; Rhodobacterales; Roseobacteraceae
Description: tRNA-Pro
Source: RNAcentral